This is a non-coding RNA of Pelobates cultripes (western spadefoot toad), 240 nucleotides long. Lineage: Eukaryota; Metazoa; Chordata; Amphibia; Anura; Pelobatidae. The record is from the annotation of a GenBank genome assembly.
UGUGAAAGUGCUGUGUGUGAGAGUGCUAUGAUGUGUGUGAGAGUGCUGCGUGUGAUGUGUGUGAGAGUGCUAUGAUGUGUGAGAGUGCUGCGCUGUGUGUGAGAGUGCUGUGUGUUGUGAGUGCUGGGUGUGAUAGUGCUGUGUGUGAGAGUGCUGAGUGUGAAAGUGCUGUGUGUGAGAGUGCUGUGAUGUGUGUGAGAGUGCUGAGUGUGAAAGUGCUAUGAUGUGUGUGAAAGUGCU